GUGGGGAAUAUUGGGCAAUGGGCGAAAGCCUGACCCAGCAACGCCGCGUGAAGGAAGAAGGUCUUCGGAUCGUAAACUUCUAUCCUUGGUGAAGAUAAUGACGGUAGCCGAGAAGGAAGCCCCGGCUAACUACGUGCCAGCAGCCGCGGUAAUACGUAGGGGGCAAGCGUUGUCCGGAAUGAUUGGGCGUAAAGGGCGCGUAGGCGGCCUGGUAAGUCUGGAGUGAAAGUCCUGCUUUUAAGGUGGGAAUUGCUUUGGAUACUGUCGGGCUUGAGUGCAGGAGAGGUAAGCGGAAUUCCCGGUGUAGCGGUGAAAUGCGUAGAGAUCGGGAGGAACACCAGUGGCGAAGGCGGCUUACUGGACUGUAACUGACGCUGAGGCGCGAAAGUGUGGGGAGCAAACAGGAUUAGAAACCCGAGUAGUCC
This 425-nucleotide ribosomal RNA is filed under the name uncultured bacterium. RNAcentral describes it as "partial 16S ribosomal RNA". It matches the Rfam family "Bacterial small subunit ribosomal RNA", at positions 354 to 796 of the family's 1533-position model. The record is from RNAcentral.